UAUGUUAAGUGAAAAACAUAUUACCGGUAGAGCAAGUUACCGUAUAAAAUCCAAAAAUAAACCUAAAACAAAGAAGCAAAUCUUCUCUCAAUUCUGGGGGCGAACCAAGAAGCAGAUAUUAUCUCGAAUUUUCUCAAUGAUGAACUCCUUUCAGCAUUCUGUCAAUCAAUGAAGGUUUCAAGAUUCCAUUAGUGAGGGCUCUCUCUCUUAUUCUUUCUGAUUUCAUACAGUGGCGAAAGUGGAGAUGGAAAAACUGAGACAGCUAAAAUUGCAAUGCAAUACUUGAUUGCUCUUGGUGGUGGCAGUUAUGGGAUAGAGUCUGAAAUCCUUUGGACAAAUUAUAUACUGGAAGCAUUUGGGAAUGCAAAAACCUCAAGGAAUGACAACUCUAGCCAAUUAGGAAGUUGAUUGAUAUUCAUUUUACUUCACUGGGGAAGAUAUGUGGUACUAAAAUCCAAACCUGUAAGCAUGUUUGAUAUUGAAUAAUUGUUGUCAUGUUAUGCUAUUUUUGUGAUGCAUACCAAUCGAGUUUACUGAUUUAAUUUCUGUUAUAACCCCAUGCUUAAUUUACCGAUAAUAAUUGUGAAUAGUUCUAUAGAAAAGGAAACAAGUUGCCCCAUCUAAGUGCCUGGAACUUUUAUAUAUUCAUUUUUCACUUAUGAACUUAUCAGUCUCCUUUAAGCAGUCAAGAGUAAUGCAACUGGUAAAUGGAGAGAGGUCAUACCAUGUCUUUUACCAACUUUUUGCUGGUGCUUCUUCAGUUCUUAAAGGUAGGACUUUCAUUUUUAAUCAAUCCACUCAGGUUUCUCAAAGUUCAAUUUUUUAGUUUGGCCGAUUCACAUUCUUUCAUCAUGCAUACCUUAGAAAAUUAGAAAAUUAGAAAAUUAGUGAGUCUUGGUUCAAAUAUCAUAGCAUAACAUAUGUAUGGAGGGAUUUUAGACUUGCACAGAUUUCUAAUAUGAUACUGACCUUAGAAAAUUAGUGAGUCUUGGUUCAAAUAUCAUAGCAUAACAUAUGUCCAAAACACUAGCUGCAGAUCCAUGUUAAAGGCCAGUUAACAUGGUUAAUGUCCAUGCACCUUAUAUUAACCAUACAGUUUCAGUAAUUUUCUAUGAUGUCACCUUGACUACCUACCCAUUACAUAAUACUUUGCGUUAUUUUGGUAUCCAUUUCAGACAUAGACAUAUAUGUCUAUCUUGCUAAAUUGGUCUUCCAUUCACCAUUGUUUGGGUGCCCAUAACUCAUUAUCAGAUAUAAUGAUUGUGACAAUGAUAUCCAUGUAUUUGGCAUCCAUCACUUUGUUAUUGGUCACUAUUCUGAAGGGCCAUGGCAUGAAAGUUUUAAGCAGGAAUAUAGUAUGUAUACAUUCCGAAAGGUAGAAAAAAGAUGCGGUCAAUAAGAUGCUGGCAACCUUAAGCAUGUUUUACCCCACUAACUAACUGAUACAGUCCUUUGAGCAGGUUAGGUAUUUAUUGACAUUAAUAUCCCAUUGAUUCAUUAUUUUCAUGUUCCUUUUUAUCAAGUGUUGUUCUAAUCACACUAUCACACUUCUUAAUGUGAUAAAAUUGCAGGCUGCGAGAAAAACUACAGAGAUGGCUACAAAUAAAGCUACCACUGCUGCUAGAGUUGCUUUUGUCAAAAUUGUUUAGAUACAGAUGGAUGGGAAAUUUUUCAAUACAAAUAGCUAAGAGAUUGGCUUUGUUUGAUUUUGUUAAUUUUACUAAUUUUCGUAUUUUAAUGAUGUCAACCCAGUGAGCAAAGCUCAUUGGAAGGUGAGAGAGGGAGAAAGAGAUUAUGUUUAAGGUUUUGUCAAAGACACUGUAACUUGUAUAUACAUUAUUUACAUCAAUGGAAGAUGAAUUUUGAAAGAUUAAAA
Molecule: long non-coding RNA, 1876 nt
Organism: Quercus robur (English oak)
Lineage: Eukaryota; Viridiplantae; Streptophyta; Magnoliopsida; Fagales; Fagaceae
Exons: 3
Source: RefSeq, a predicted model, not a curated record